This 497-nucleotide ribosomal RNA is filed under the name uncultured bacterium. RNAcentral describes it as "partial 16S ribosomal RNA". It matches the Rfam family "Bacterial small subunit ribosomal RNA", at positions 28 to 507 of the family's 1533-position model. The record is from RNAcentral.
GAUGAACGCUGGCGGCGUGCCUAAUACAUGCAAGUCGAGCGAACGGACGAGAAGCUUGCUUUUCUGAUGUUAGCGGCGGACGGGUGAGUAACACGUGGAUAACCUACCUAUAAGACUGGGAUAACUUCGGGAAACCGGAGCUAAUACCGGAUAAUAUUUUGAACCGCAUUGUUCAAAAGUGAAAGACGGUCUUGCUGUCACUUAUAGAUGGAUCCGCGCUGCAUUAGCUAGUUGGUAAGGUAACGGCUUACCAAGGCAACGAUGCAUAGCCGACCUAAGAGGGUGAUCGGCCACACUGGAACUGGGACACGGUCCAAACUCCUACGGGAGGCAGCAGUAGGGAAUCUUCCGCAAUGGGCGAAAGCCUGACGGAGCAACGCCGCGUGAGUGAUGAAGGUCUUCGGAUCGUAAAACUCUGUUAUUAGGGAAGAACAUAUGUGUAAGUAACUGUGCACAUCUUGACGGUACCUAAUCAGAAAGCCACGGCUAACUACGUG